UACGUAGGGUGCAAGCGUUGUCCGGAAUUAUUGGGCGUAAAGAGCUCGUAGGCGGUCUGUCGCGUCGGAUGUGAAAAUCCAGGGCUCAACCCUGGACCUGCAUUCGAUACGGGCAGACUAGAGUUCGGUAGGGGAGACUGGAAUUCCUGGUGUAGCGGUGAAAUGCGCAGAUAUCAGGAGGAACACCGGUGGCGAAGGCGGGUCUCUGGGCCGUAACUGACGCUGAGGAGCGAAAGCAUGGGGAGCGAACAGG
Molecule: ribosomal RNA, 253 nt
Filed under: uncultured bacterium
Lineage: Bacteria
Description: partial 16S ribosomal RNA
Rfam family: Bacterial small subunit ribosomal RNA
Source: RNAcentral